CUUUUUGUUGUUGCCGUUUUAUUAUUUUUUGGCAUAUGUUGUCUGGACAAUGCAAUUUGCAUUGUCAUACUGGGUUUGCAUUUAUUUAUUGCAGUUUUUUUAACUCCGUAAUUUGUUGUCUCUGAAGCACUUACAAUUUAUAUUUUUUAUGCAAACGUAGAUUAUUGACGCUUGCACAUACUUGUUGACGAGACAACAAGAUGAAGGGUGCUUUACAAAAAAUGUCAAUCCCAAAUAUUGCGGCCGUAGUCUGAUAUUCCCUAGUUUAUUGUUGAAAUGCAUACGGAUGUCCGUAAAACCACUGGAAAUGUUGGAGCACUUCCUUGUUGGAAAAAUGUCGGUGAGUAUCGGUACUUUAUUUUUCCGCUAAACUCAGAAAAAGGUCCGAUAGAUAAGUACCCCCACUGGACAUAGUUGGUGUAUGAUAAAAAUAUAAGCUCAUGGAAGCACUUCAACUCGUUUCGUCCAAGGAAGAAAUGUAAAGAUCAAUACUUUGUUGAUGCUGAGGACAUGAUUACGUUCCUAGAGAGCAUGGAGGACAAAUUUAAUUUGGGGAUUGUAGUAGGAGCCGACACCGAUUAUGUUUCAACAUCGCCGCAACAGAAACCAAAAUCAGUUGAUUGUGGGAUGUUUGUCUUGUAUAUUGCAAGACAAUUCUGCAUGCAACAGCCGUUAGUGAAAAAAACUGCAGAAGCUGGGAUCGCUGAACUCCGAAAAACUUUUGUUCAUUUGUUCUUGAACGAUGAAGACACUGUUGAUUUUGAUUAGAGAAAAAAAGACAUUUACUUUGUGUUUUGCAGAACUAUGUUUUUAAGUUGUGGCAUUGAACUUUUGCAGGAUAUUGAUAUGAAUUAUAAUCUAAUAUAUUCCA
Non-coding RNA from Erythranthe guttata (spotted monkey flower), 871 nucleotides. Lineage: Eukaryota; Viridiplantae; Streptophyta; Magnoliopsida; Lamiales; Phrymaceae. The record is from RefSeq and is a predicted model, not a curated record.